AGCAGGCUGUGCUCCCCCCACCCCACCCCUGCCCCCAGGACUCCGGUGGCCUGGGGGCUUCUUCUCAGCCCGGGGCCCACUCCCCUCCCGGCCAGGCCCUCCCUCUUUCCUCCCCACGCUCCAGCCACCGCCUGGCCCAGAGUGGUGGUCAUGUUCAGUUCCCAAAGGCUCCUCCUCCAUCCUGGCUCCAGCCAUCUGCCAGCUCAAGGGUGUGGUGGACCCAGGGGUCAAGAUGGUCCUCCAGCUGGGAGAGGGGGAGGGGAGGGGAGGCCCCUCCCCCUUCCCCACCACCACUCAGCUCGCCUCCCGGGGAGCCCCGCCUCUUCACCUGUCCUUCCUCGUGGGUCUCAUGCUGUUGAGGGAGCACAGGUGAGCUGCACUGGGCAGCCAUGUCCUGGGGCUGUGGGCGGAACAGGUGCUCAGAGGUGCAAACAGGUGAUGGGAGGUGCUGCCUCUGCAGGACCUGGUGGCAGGCCAGGUGGUGCCACUAGUGCACCCAUGACCUCAGGGACCCCGGACUCGUGGGGCCUCGUUUCCUCACCUGGGUGUGCCGAGCCCCCCCACACACACUGGCCACAGGGUCAGGUGGGGUCACACCCGCAUAAUUCUCAGGGGAGGACACUCGGGUCCCUCCUGAAUCGGACGGAAUCCCUGCUGCCUCCUGGAGCUCUUCCCCCGGUGCCAAGGGGGCUGCCUGGGAGUCCGAAGCAAGCCCCCCACCCUUGUGUUCUUGCCCUGGGCGCCUGGCCCAGACCACCGGCCUCCACCCACAGCUGCUAUCCCCUGAUGCUGCUAAUAAGCAGGUGUCUGCCCAGGUCCAGCGGGUGGGAGUGCCCCCUCCCCAUCUCCUGGUCACCAGGGCCCAGGCCUUGCAUCUCUAGAGGACACAGUGACCCCUGCAGAGCAGAGGACUCCUCCUGGGUCUGGGCCACUUGGCCCUGGCAUGGAAGUGCCUCCCUGCCCUGCAAGCGCCAGCCCCGGCCAGCAGACCCCAGCUGGGGUCCCAGGCCCAGCAGGUUGGGCUCAAGCGCGGCCAGGGCAGCAGCAGAGGCAGAGGAGCCCCUCGAGCCACAUCUGGGGUCUGGGAUCUGUAGCGGAGGUUGUCCUGAGUCCCAGAUUCCGAGUCUAGUCGGCGGCCCAGGGGGGCUGAGAGCCUGCAUUUCUCACUGCUCCAGGGCCAUGCGACGCCGCUGCCCCGCCCGCCCCACUCGGGGCCCUGCUGUGUGUGGCCACAUGCGACCAGGCGCGACCCCAGCGAGGCCCCCCAUCCCAGGGAUGCACCAACCCCCAACUCCCCAACGUCCCCAGGGAAGGAAGGCCACGGGGGCGGGAGGGGAGUUAUACCCCACCCAGAGGCGGCUAAACCCAAGGUCCCCGGCGGGUGUUGGACUGUGCGGCGUAUUACGUAAUCUUUGUUGCCAGGAAAUUUACCUUCCUAAUUACAUUUUGCAAAUUUUCAUUUGAGUGUGGCUUCCCAGAGCUCUGGGAAAAUAGGAGAAGGGCAGGUGGGAGGGAGGGGGGUGCCAGGACCCUGGGCCACCGGGCGCAGACCCAGGGCUGCACCCAGGGAUGG
RNAcentral lists this long non-coding RNA (1573 nucleotides) under Canis lupus dingo (dingo). RNAcentral describes it as "lncRNA (ENSCAFG00020008163.1)". The record is from RNAcentral. Lineage: Eukaryota; Metazoa; Chordata; Mammalia; Carnivora; Canidae.